RNAcentral lists this ribosomal RNA (323 nucleotides) under Thaipsocus sp. KY258. Its description in RNAcentral is "partial 12s rRNA". The record is from RNAcentral. Lineage: Eukaryota; Metazoa; Arthropoda; Insecta; Psocodea; Troctopsocidae.
UAGGUAGUAUGAGUUAUGUUCUAAAAACUUAAAGAUUUUGGCGGUGUCUUAUGUCUAUAUAGAGGAAUAUGUUUUUUAAUUGAUAAUUCACAAUUAUCUUACUUAGUUUAAGUUUUGUAUACCGCCAUCUCAAGAAUUUUUUAAAAGAAAUAUUUCUGGAUAAAUUAUUUUUAAUAAGUUAGGUCAAGGUGCAGAUUAUGAUUAAGAUAAAAUGUAUUACGUUAAUAAUAUUUUUGAAUUUGGGAAUGAAAUUUUUUAAUGAAAUUGGAUUUGUUUGUAAAUUUAUUUGAUUAUAAUAAUUUGAUAAAAGAUCUAGGACAUGU